This 178-nucleotide non-coding RNA is filed under the name Acidobacteria bacterium RBG_13_68_16. RNAcentral's name for it is "6S RNA". It matches the Rfam family "6S / SsrS RNA". From Rfam's summary of the family: E. coli 6S RNA was the first non coding RNA to be sequenced, but its function was unknown until recently. Lineage: Bacteria; Pseudomonadati; Acidobacteriota. The record is from RNAcentral.
GGGCCCCUGCGCGGUUGGUGAUGAGCGAAACUAUUCUUGAACCAACACCUAUUUGACGGGUUCGACGUCCCGCCUCCCCGAUCCAGCCUUGUGGCGAGUGACGGGAGCCGGGCAGAACCCCAACCUGUGGUUUGCAGGUUCAAAUAGGGUUGCUCACACGGCCGAGUGCGGGGGCUCU